AAUCUGCCCCCCGGCCCCGGGAUAGCCCAGGGGAAACCUGGAUUAAUACCGGAUGAGACGGGACCCGCGAUGGCGGGACCCGGGAAGGCGCUGCGGCGCCGCCGGGGGGAUGAGUCUGCGUCCCAUUAGCUAGACGGCGGGGUAACGGCCCACCGUGGCGACGAUGGGUAGCCGGCCUGAGAGGGUGGACGGCCACAUUGGAACUGAGACACGGUCCAGACUCCUACGGGAGGCAGCAGCUAAGAAUCUUCCGCAAUGGGCGAAAGCCUGACGGAGCGAACCGCCGCGUGAACGAAGAAGGCCGUGAGGUUGUAAAGUUCUUUUCGGGAGGGGGAACAACCGUGGCAGGGAAUGGCCGCGGGAUGACGUGAAUCCCGGAAUAAGCCCCGGCUAACUACGUGCCAGCCGCCGC
Molecule: ribosomal RNA, 412 nt
Filed under: uncultured bacterium
Lineage: Bacteria
Description: bacterial SSU rRNA
Rfam family: Bacterial small subunit ribosomal RNA
Source: RNAcentral